RNAcentral lists this ribosomal RNA (253 nucleotides) under uncultured bacterium. Its description in RNAcentral is "partial 16S ribosomal RNA". It matches the Rfam family "Bacterial small subunit ribosomal RNA", at positions 524 to 776 of the family's 1533-position model. The record is from RNAcentral.
UCCAGAGGGUGCGAGCGUUGUCCGGAAUCACUGGGCGUAAAGGGCGCGUAGGUGGUUGGGUAAGCGUGUGGUGAAAGCCCGGGGCUCAACCCCGGGUCGGCCAUGCGAACUGCCCGACUGGAGCACGGUAGAGGCCAAUGGAAUUCCGGGUGUAGCGGUGGAAUGCGUAGAGAUCCGGAAGAACACCGGUGGCGAAGGCGGUUGGCUGGGCCGUGGCUGACACUGAGGCGCGACAGCGUGGGGAGCAAACAGG